CCGGCCGCCUCGGAAUCUGGAGCCUAGAGAGACUUCCAGAGCCAGUCUCAGACAGACCCCGGGGAAGGCGCGGGGCUGCAGCACCGCCCCGCCCGCCGCACCUGGAAGCGGUGAGGACCGGGAGAGGCGGGGCGCGGCAGGAGGCUGGCCCGGCGCCUGAGCAGCUCCGCCGAAAGCCGGCCCGACUGAAGCAGGGCGAAGGGGGAGGGUCUCGAGGCGAGUUCUGCUCCUCCGAGGGAAAGGACCCCAGCUGGAGUGGAAAACCAGCACCAGCUGACCGCAGAGAGCCGGGCUGAUCAUGGAGAGGGCCGGCCCCGGCUCCGCGCGGCCUCAACAGCAAUGGGACCAGGACUCGGUCGAAGCGUGGCUGGACGAUCACUGGAACUUUACCUUCUCUUACUUUGUUAGGAAAGGCACCAGAGAAAUGGUCAAUGCAUGGUUUGCUGAGAGAGUUCACACCAUCCCUGUGUGCAAGGAAGGAGUCAAAGGCCACGCGGAAUCCUGCUCUUGUCCCUUGCAGCCAAGUACCCGUGCAGAGAGCAGUGUCCCUGGAACACCAACCAGGAAGAUCUCUGCCUCCGAAUUCGAUCGGCCGCUUAGACCCAUUGUUAUCAAAGAUUCUGAGGGGACUGUGAGCUUCCUCUCUGACUCAGACAAGAAGGAACAGAUGCCUCUAACCUCCCCACGGUUUGAUAAUGAUGAAGGGGACCAGUGCUCGAGACUCUUGGAAUUAGUGAAAGAUAUUUCUAGUCACUUGGAUGUCACAGCCUUAUGUCACAAAAUUUUCUUGCAUAUCCAUGGACUCAUCUCCGCUGACCGCUACUCCUUAUUCCUCGUCUGUGAGGACAGCUCCAACGACAAGUUUCUUAUCAGCCGCCUCUUUGAUGUUGCAGAAGGUUCAACACUGGAAGAAGCUUCAAAUAACUGUAUCCACUUAGAGUGGAACAAAGGCAUCGUGGGACACGUGGCCGCUCUUGGCGAGCCCUUGAACAUCAAGGACGCCUAUGAGGACUGCCCUGGCAGAAGCCAGCAAGGAGAACAGUAACUCAGAUUUCUACACAAGAAUGCAAGUUGACUAUCCUAGCUACAUCCAUUCCACGUCUGCCUUAGAGAGGGGGACAGGGAAGGACCACGACCAUCCCCAACUCCAGAGUCCUUUGAAGAACCUCCCUUCAAGCUCCAGUCUCCCUGGAGGCACAGCAAGCUUACCUGCGGUUCUGAAGGCCUGCUCCUCCCACCCUGCCGAUCUUUUUCCCAAGGCCGGCAGCCAUCCUAGGAAUAGCAACACACACCUUCUUAAGUCCCUAAAAUGUUCAUCUUCUAUGAACAGUGGUAUUUUGGACUGCUCUUGGAAAGUAAAUAUUACAAUUUCUUAUUAAUUUAAUAGAGAUUAAUGAUAACUCAAAAUUAAAAAGAAUCUUGACUCAGAUCAGGAAGAUCCCCUAGAGAAGGGAAUGGCUACCCGCUCCAGUAUUUUUGCCAGGAAACUACCAUGAACAGAGGAGCCUGGCAGGCUACAGUUCAUGGGUUACAAAGAGUCAGAUAUGACUGAGCGACUAUCACAAUAAGAAUCUUAAUGCAAAAUUCCAAAAACAAAAUGCUGUGCUGUGCUUACUUAUUUGCUCAGUCGUGUCCGACUUUUUGCGACCCCAUGGACUGUAGCCCACCAGGCUCCUCCAUCUAUGGGAUUUCCCAGGCAAGAAUACUGGAGUGGUUUGCCAUGCCCUUCUCCAGGUGAUCUUCCCAACCCAGGCAUCCAACUGAGGUCUCCCUCAUUGCAGGUGGAUUCUUGACCAGGGAAGCCCUGAAAUCUAUCUUAUUAAUACCUUUUUAAUUAUACAAAAAAAAAAAAAAAACCCACACAUUUCUUUUAAUAAUAAAAUUCUGCGAAUAAAUUUUAAACCAUA
This is an RNA transcript of Cervus elaphus (red deer), 1907 nucleotides long. It is a transcript of the gene named cGMP-specific 3',5'-cyclic phosphodiesterase-like, with no coding region annotated. Lineage: Eukaryota; Metazoa; Chordata; Mammalia; Artiodactyla; Cervidae. The transcript has 4 exons. The record is from RefSeq and is a predicted model, not a curated record.